ACUGCCAGCAGCCGCGGUAAUACGUAGGGUCCGAGCGUUGUCCGGAAUUACUGUUCCACCAAGGAGGCGCAGGCGGGCUUUUGCGUCGGGGGUUAAAGACCAAAGCUUAACUUUGGGAAUGCCUCCGAAACGGGAAGUCUUGAAUAUGGGAGAGGUAGGUAGAAUUCCUGGUGUAGCGGUGAAAUGCGUAGAUAUCAGGAGGAAUACCAGUGGCGAAGGCGGCCUACUGGCUCAUUAUUGACGCUCAGGCACGAAAGCGUGGGGAGCAAACAGGAUUAGAUACUCUGGUAGUCCACUUCCUAAACGAUGUCGACUAGGUGUUCGGUGAGGAGACUCAUUGAGUACCGCAGCUAACGCGUGAAGUCGACCGCCUGGGGAGUACGGUCGCAAGAUUAAAACUCAAGGGAAUUGACGGGGACCCGCACAAGCGGUGGAUGAUGUGGAUUAAUUCGAUGCAACGCGAAAAAACCUUACCUACCCUUGACAUGUACGGAACCCUGCUGAGAGGUGGGGGUGCUCGAAAGAGAGCCGUAACACAGGUGCUGCAUGGCUGUCGUCAGCUCGUGUCGUGAGAUGUUGGGUUAAGUCCCGCAACGAGCGCAACCCUUGUCAUUAGUUGCUACGCAAGAGCACUCUAAUGAGACUGCCGGUGACCAAAACCGGAGGAAGGUGGGAUGACGCCAAGUCCUCAUGGCCCUUAUGGGUAGGGCU
This 711-nucleotide ribosomal RNA is filed under the name uncultured beta proteobacterium. RNAcentral's name for it is "bacterial SSU rRNA". It matches the Rfam family "Bacterial small subunit ribosomal RNA", at positions 503 to 1215 of the family's 1533-position model. Lineage: Bacteria; Pseudomonadati; Pseudomonadota; Betaproteobacteria. The record is from RNAcentral.